AAUUCAUUCAGUUGUUUUACAACAUCCAACGUCGAGAACGUGAAUUUGGUCGUUAGGUUAGUUUUGAAAUUUGACACGUGUUUUGUUUCGUUCGCUGGAUUAUUUCUUCGUGAAUAACUGGCCUGAAUUAAGUACGAUAUUGUGAGGUGAAUUGGAAUUGUUCACAGCGAAUUUUCUACGUUAAUUUGGUUACGCCACUGAACAGACGAGCAGACCAGACAGACGCUCGCCCUUGCCGGUUACUUUCCAUCCCUUCCACAAUCGGAAACUUGGUUGUAGGCAAAACAAUAGACAAACGCACAAACUGUUUUUGUGUGUCUUCUGACUGUGUAGAGUGUGGAGGUAUCAGAUAAGGUAGAAUGUAGUUUCAACAGUUGGACCCACGUUAUCGUUCCUCGUGCCUGGGUCCUGAUGGCAUUCCUUUCUAUCUACUUCAAAAUGUUCGGAAACAUGUCUACCUCAAAUGCGACAUACCCUACCCAUGCAAAAUUGCCAUGUUGGAUUAUGAAGCGACAAAAUACCUAAAUGUUACUUCCUACUCCGUUAGUACCUGGGUUACUACAGUUCGGUAUGUAUUUGUUUUUUAUUAGGAAAUUUGAGUUUCGAAAAUAACUUAUACGCUUCAUAAAACUGUCCAGACAGGAAUGAUGAUAAGAAAGUUGCAAUCGAAAUAUCAGUUAAGAAAUAAUUAUUUUUUCCCAUCAUUACAAUUUCAUUAUCAUCGGCAACACCGAUAAUAUUAAAGAGAGGAAUAUUUUCGAUACAAAACAGGAUCGAAAAGCUCUGAAUAUCCGGGUGUUUAAAAUUUAGUGUGAUAAUUUUAUACUAUAAUAUUCUCUGAAUAAUUUUAAACCCGAAAUGAGUUCAUAUGAAUGAAGAUCCGCAAACAGUCAGGAACUAGGGAGUGUUAAAAGCUUGAAUUUUUUUUCGGUUUUUUGUUCGUAGCUCCUACAGAUUUCGGCAUAUUUGGCUGUACAUAAUCGAUCCUGCCAAAUAGUUAUGGAAAUCUAAUAGGUGAUAUUUCGUCCGCUGUUUUUUUACCUCAUAUCUCCCCAAGUUUUUUACGUGUAUUAUUUCAAAACUUAAAAUAAAUUCCUUGUUUCAUUUGCAAAAUUUUCGGACCGCCGGCACGUUUUCAUUGUUUUCGUAUACUGAAUGAGCUAUCAAGAAAAGACUGAAAAAAAAUUCAUACGUGAAGCCUGUUUGCAAUAGGCGAGAAUUCUCUAGAGAUUUUACUCGAGAAUUCAUGCGCCGUGAAUUCUUUACCGUUACAUACGCACUUUCGGUAGAAUUCUCUGUUCAGUUGCAUACAAAAUAAUCUUUGCCGUUUUCUUACCAAAAUUUGGUAGAGAAUUCUCGGUUGUUGCAAACGGGCUUAACUGAGAGCUUGUGGACCUAUGUUUGUAUGGAAUGUUUGCCUUGAAAUAACCCGGGAGAUAUAUCCCAAAAAUUAUUGCACUGAAUUGUGAAGCACCCUGUAUUAUAUGUAUUCAACCGUAACAAAUUUUUACAAUCUCACAUCUAUUCUGUAGGAUUGAAAUAUAUGCAUCGCAUCGUGAUUCCGAAUAUGGUCGAAAAUUAUCUUCUAAGUCCGUUUGUAACAGCCGAGAAUUCUCUGAAGAAUUCUAUGCCAAAUUUUGGCAAGGAAACGGCAGAGAUUAUUUUGUAUGCAACUGAACAGUGAAUUCUACCGAAAGUGCGUAUGUAACUGUAAAUAAUUAACGGCGCAUGAAUUCUCGAGUAAAUUCUCUAGAAAAUUCUCGGCUGUUGCAAACGGGCUUGAGGAAUAAUAAAUAACGUUUACAACUUCGCUCAUUUUGGGUACCAUGACAUGGCAAAUUUGACAAUACAGCAGGUAAAUUCUUUGAAUUUCUUUUGUGGACCCGAGGGUGGACCAAACAAAAAAGAAAGUUUUUUCAUAGGUUCAGGUCAGUUAUAACAACAAAUACAGGAUUCCGCACAAAGUACAUAACAUUUUUCAAAUGGCAAGUACUCUCCGCAUAUCAGAGACAAUAAAUUUCAAUUAAUAAAUUUAUAUAUUGAACUUUUUAUAGAUUAAUAAAGAAUUCAUUCAUGACAAUGAAAACUGAUGUUAAAAAUGAGUAUCCCAGAAAAAUACUUCUAUAUGACAAUUUUUAAAAUGUAAAAUUUUACUCGGCGGAAUAAUAGAUAUUUAUUGCAAUAUAAUUAUUGCCUUUCACAUAUUACUAUGAAUGUGUAAAUUUGCUGUUGGUUGUUAAUUCAAAGAAUGAACUUAUUGCCAUUCACUUCAAAGAACUUGAACCCCUAGAAGGAAAAAGGUAG
Coccinella septempunctata (seven-spotted ladybird) is the source of this 2304-nucleotide long non-coding RNA. RefSeq lists it as uncharacterized. The record is from RefSeq and is a predicted model, not a curated record. NCBI's taxonomy places the organism in Eukaryota, Metazoa, Arthropoda, Insecta, Coleoptera, Coccinellidae. The transcript has 3 exons.